UACGGAGGGAGCGAGCGUUGUCCGGAAUUACUGGGCGUAAAGGGCGUGCAGGCGGCCUUUUAAGUCCGGCGUGAAAUCCUGCGGCUCAACCGGAGACGGUCGUGGGAAACUGGAAGGCUAGAGUGCGGGAGAGGAGAGUGGAAUUCCCGGUGUAGCGGUGAAAUGCGCAGAUAUCGGGAAGAACACCGAUGGCGAAAGCAGCUUUCUGGGACGGUACUGACGCUGAGACGCGAAAGCGUGGGGAGCGAACAGG
RNAcentral lists this ribosomal RNA (253 nucleotides) under uncultured bacterium. RNAcentral describes it as "partial 16S ribosomal RNA". It matches the Rfam family "Bacterial small subunit ribosomal RNA", at positions 524 to 776 of the family's 1533-position model. The record is from RNAcentral.